Molecule: long non-coding RNA, 562 nt
Organism: Gossypium arboreum
Lineage: Eukaryota; Viridiplantae; Streptophyta; Magnoliopsida; Malvales; Malvaceae
Exons: 3
Source: RefSeq, a predicted model, not a curated record
AAUCUGCUCCCAUUUUUUCCCUUUCCCACGUUUGUUCCCUUAUUCUCUAAUUUUUCAGGUCGUUGGUAUUGUUCCAGCCUUAGUCAUUGGAUUUUCUUUAUUUUUCUUUCUUUCCCUUGUUUCACGUGGGUUGUGGGUUUAGCAAAGGGUUUUCAAUUGUUAUCUUUUUGCUUACUGGAUCUUCUUCCAAGGGUGUUGUCGUGCGAAGUUUUUGCUUUAGUUCCUUCUCUUUGUUUUGCAUUCGUUUCAUAUUUGAGGUUGGGUGACGAUGGUGAGAAUCGAAACUCCCCUCCCGCGAUUUUGUUGUAUUAGGAGUUGUUGUGGACGAUUGGAGCACUCGGGAUAAAAAACAGUAAAAAUUGGAAAAUCGAAGCAAGCUACAGGAGCCAAACAAGCUGACCCAUUUCACACGGUCUGGCCACACGACCGGUGAUCCACACGGCCAUGUGGUAGACCAUGCCGAUUGCGCAAUAAUAAAUGCCAAAAGUAACAUGUUUUAGCCUUAUUUUUAAUACGUUUUUUGAUGAUUAUUCGAUUUAAAAUGGUGAAUUUUAUGCUUCUA